RNAcentral lists this ribosomal RNA (601 nucleotides) under uncultured archaeon. RNAcentral's name for it is "bacterial SSU rRNA". It matches the Rfam family "Archaeal small subunit ribosomal RNA", at positions 319 to 923 of the family's 1478-position model. The record is from RNAcentral.
UCCCUAUGGGGUGCAGCAGUCGCGAAAACUUUGCAAUACACGAAAGUGUGACAAGGCUAUCCCGAGUGCCAUCCGCUGAGGAAGGCUUUUACCCAGUAUAAAUAGCUGGGAGAAUAAGGAGAGGGCAAGUCUGGUGUCAGCCGCCGCGGUAAUACCAGCUCUCCGAGUAGUGUGGAUGUUUAUUGGGCCUAAAGCAUCCGUAGCUUGCUAAGCAAGUCCCCUGUUAAAUCCACCGAUUCAAUCGGUGGAUUGCGGGGGAUACUGUUUGGCUAGGGGACGGGAGAGGCCGACGGUAUUCCCGGGGUAGGGGUGAAAUCCUAUAAUCCCGGGAAGACCACCAGUGGCGAAGGCUGUCGGCUAGAACGCGCCCGACGGUGAGGGAUGAAAGCUGGGGGAGCGAACCGGAUUAGAUACCCGGGUAGUCCCAGCUGUAAACGAUGCAGGCUAGGUGUUUGGGCGGCCACGAGCCGCCCUAGUGCCGCAGGGAAGCUGUUAAGCCUGCCGCCUGGGGAGUACGGCCGCAAGGCUGAAACUUAAAGGAAUUGGCGGGGGAGCACCACAAGGGGUGAAGCUUGCGGUUUAAUUGGAUUCAACGCCGGAA